RNAcentral lists this ribosomal RNA (253 nucleotides) under uncultured bacterium. RNAcentral describes it as "partial 16S ribosomal RNA". It matches the Rfam family "Bacterial small subunit ribosomal RNA", at positions 524 to 776 of the family's 1533-position model. The record is from RNAcentral.
UACGGGGGGGGCAAGCGUUGUUCGGAAUUACUGGGCGUAAAGGGCUCGUAGGCGGCCUGCUAAGUCGAACGUGAAAUCCCCGGGCUCAACCCAGGAACUGCGUCCGAUACUGGUUGGCUUGAAUCCGGGAGAGGGAUGUGGAAUUCCAGGUGUAGCGGUGAAAUGCGUAGAUAUCUGGAGGAACACCGGUGGCGAAGGCGACAUCCUGGACCGGUAUUGACGCUGAGGCGCGAAAGCCAGGGGAGCAAACGGG